Molecule: ribosomal RNA, 1242 nt
Filed under: metagenome
Description: bacterial LSU rRNA
Rfam family: Bacterial large subunit ribosomal RNA
Source: RNAcentral
UGAGUACGAGAUGCUACGGCAUCGAAGCAGUCUAUGUCAUACUUCCAAGAAAAGCUUGCAAUGUCAUAAACAAAUAAUGCCUGUACCAUAACCGACACAGGUGGGUAGGUAGAGUAUACUAAGGGGCGCGAGAUAACUCUCUCUAAGGAACUCGGCAAAAUGACUCCGUAACUUCGGGAGAAGGAGUGCCUUAUUUUUAUAAGGUUGCAAUAACAAGAUCCAAGCAACUGUUUACCAAAGACACAGGUCUCCGCUAAGUCGUAAGACGAUGUAUGGGGGCUGACGCCUGCCCAGUGCCAGAAGGUUAAAGAAGUUGGUUAGCAUUAGCGAAGCUGAUAACUGAAGCCCUGGUGAACGGCGGCCGUAACUAUAACGGUCCUAAGGUAGCGAAAUUCCUUGUCGGGUAAGUUCCGACCCGCACGAAAGGCGUAAUGAUUUGGAUACUGUCUCGGAGAGGGGCUCGGUGAAAUAGACUUGUCUGUGAAGAUGCGGACUACCUGCACCUGGACAGAAAGACCCUAUGAAGCUUUACUGUAACUUGAGAUUGAAAUUGGACUUUAUCUGCGCAGUAUAGGUGGGAGACGUUGAAAAUAUUCUUGCGGGAAUAUUGGAGUCAUCAGUGAGAUACCACUCUUAUAAUGUUAGAUUUCUAACUUUGUAUCAUUAUCUGGUCAAAGAACAGUUUCAGGCGGGCAGUUUGACUGGGGCGGUCGCCUCCCAAACGGUAACGGAGGCGCACAAAGGUUUCCUCUGAACGUGUAGAAAUCGUAUCUAGAGUGUAAAGGCAUAAGGAAGCUUGACUGUGAGACCUACAAGUCGAGCAGGGACGAAAGUCGGUCUUAGUGAUCUGACGGUGCUGAGUGGAAAGGCCGUCACUCAACGGAUAAAAGUUACUCUAGGAUAACAGGCUGAUCUCCCCCAAGAGUUCACAUCGACGGGGAGGUUUGGCACCUCGAUGUCGGCUCAUCGCAUCCUGGGGCGGUAGUACGUCCCAAGGGUUGGGCUGUUCGCCCAUAAAAGCGGUACGCGAGCUGGGUUCAGAACGUCGUGAGACAGUUCGGUCCAUAUCCGGUGUAGGCGUUAGAAUAUUGAGAGGAGCCUUCUUUAGUACGAGAGGACCGAGAAGGACAUACCUCUGGUGUACCAGUUAUCGUGCCAACGGUAAACGCUGGGUAGCCAUGUAUGGAGAGGAUAACCGCUGAAAGCAUCUAAGUGGGAAGCCCACCUCAAGAUAAGUAUUCU